UUCUGGCUCAGGAUUAACGCUGGCGGCGUGCCUAACACAUGCAAGUCGAACGGAAUAUCUUCGGAUAUUUAGUGGCGAACGGGUGAGUAAUGUACAGGUAAUGUACCUUCGUACUGCGAAUAACAAGCUGAAAAGUUUGCUAAUACGGAAUAGUUUCCUUCGAGGGCAUCCUUAAAGGAAUAAAGAUUUAUCGUGCGGAGAUCAGCCUGUAUCCUAUUAGUUAGUUGGUGGGGUAAUGGCCUACCAAGACGACGAUGGGUAACUGGUCUGAGAGGAUGAGCAGUCACAUUGGAACUGAGAAACGGUCCAAACUCCUACGGGAGGCAGCAGUGAGGAAUUUUGCGCAAUGGGGGAAACCCUGAACCGCAGCAACGCCGCGUGAGUGACGACGGCCUUCGGGUUGUAAAGCUCUGUCGUGUGUGACGAGUAGGGACGGUAACACACAAGGAAGCCUCGGCUAACUACGUGCCAGCCGCGGC
RNAcentral lists this ribosomal RNA (479 nucleotides) under uncultured bacterium. Its description in RNAcentral is "bacterial SSU rRNA". It matches the Rfam family "Bacterial small subunit ribosomal RNA", at positions 17 to 518 of the family's 1533-position model. The record is from RNAcentral.